This 253-nucleotide ribosomal RNA is filed under the name uncultured bacterium. RNAcentral's name for it is "partial 16S ribosomal RNA". It matches the Rfam family "Bacterial small subunit ribosomal RNA", at positions 524 to 776 of the family's 1533-position model. The record is from RNAcentral.
UACGUAGGGGGCUAGCGUUGCUCGGAAUUACUGGGCGUAAAGGGAGCGUAGGCGGACAUUUAAGUCAGGGGUGAAAUCCCGAGGCUCAACCUCGGAACUGCCUUUGAUACUGGAUGUCUUGAGUGUGAGAGAGGUGAGUGGAACUCCGAGUGUAGAGGUGAAAUUCGUAGAUAUUCGGAAGAACACCAGUGGCGAAGGCGACUCACUGGCUCAUUACUGACGCUGAGGCUCGAAAGCGUGGGGAGCAAACAGG